RNAcentral lists this unclassified non-coding RNA (242 nucleotides) under Tomentella sp. Its description in RNAcentral is "partial contains 5.8S ribosomal RNA, internal transcribed spacer 2, and large subunit ribosomal RNA". The stretch from base 1 to 52 matches the Rfam family "5.8S ribosomal RNA", at positions 103 to 154 of the family's 154-position model. The record is from RNAcentral. Lineage: Eukaryota; Fungi; Basidiomycota; Agaricomycetes; Thelephorales; Thelephoraceae.
AACGCACAUUGCGCCCUCUGGUAUUCCGGGGGGCAUGCCUGUUCGAGCGUCAUUACAACCCUCAAGCUCUGCUUGGUAUUAGGCAUACCUGCUACAGGCGUGCCUUAAAAUCAGUGGCGGUGCCAUUUGGCUCCAAGCGUAGUAAUUUCUUCGGCUUAGGAGUACCAAUUGCGUGCCCGCUAGAAAUACCCAAUUUAUCAAAGGUUGACCUCGGAUCAGGUAGGGAUACCCGCUGAACUUAA